Molecule: unclassified non-coding RNA, 345 nt
Filed under: soil metagenome
Description: partial contains 5.8S ribosomal RNA, internal transcribed spacer 2, and large subunit ribosomal RNA
Rfam family: 5.8S ribosomal RNA (bases 1-120)
Source: RNAcentral
GAUGAAGAACGUAGCGAAAUGCGAUAAGUAAUGUGAAUUGCAGAAUUCAGUGAAUCAUCGAAUCUUUGAACGCUCAUUGCGACCGCCAGUAUUCUGGCGGGCAUGCCUGUCCGAGCGUCAUUUCAACCCUCAAGCCCCCGGGCUUGGUGUUGGAGAUCGGCGAGCCCCCCGGGGCGCGCCGUCUCCCAAAUAUAGUGGCGGUCCCGCUGUAGCUUCCUCUGCGUAGUAGCACACCUCGCGCUGGGAAACAGCGUGGCCACGCCGUAAAACCCCCCACUUCUGAAAGGUUGACCUCGGAUCAGGUAGGAAUACCCGCUGAACUUAAGCAUAUCAAUAAGCGGAGGA